AUUCACAGGUCGAGUGAAGCGGUCCUUUGACAUAGGUUUUGCAGGACUCAUGCUUACCACACUGGGAUCAUGGAUCUACUGUAGAAUUACCAAUGCCCAGCUUCGUAUGCAGCAAAGGUUGAUCCAGGAUGGCAUCAAGAACAAGGUCAUGUAUGAAGGCACGAGUUUGGACACCGUCAGUAAACCAAAAGAGCAGGAGCCUUGCCCUUCAUGUCCUUGAAAUGAUUACGUGAUCCUGUCGUCAAAUCAUUGAUUCUUUCACACACCCUUGACUGCAGUUCACAAUGUCCACAGCCUUUAAAUGUUCUUCUAUUUUUCUGUCUUAUUGGAUCAUGUUGUCAGGCAUGGUUUGUCUGACAGAUGUUAUUUUUAUGUAAAAUAUUCUGUAACAAGUGUUGUUUUUGUGCUCAAUGGUGGAUCUAUUCAUAAUUAUUUAAGAGAUGAUUGGUUGUGCGCUGAAUAAAUAUUGAUUGACUUUC
Non-coding RNA from Salmo salar (Atlantic salmon), 479 nucleotides. Lineage: Eukaryota; Metazoa; Chordata; Actinopteri; Salmoniformes; Salmonidae. The record is from RefSeq and is a predicted model, not a curated record.